RNAcentral lists this ribosomal RNA (221 nucleotides) under Streptococcus suis. RNAcentral describes it as "partial 16S ribosomal RNA". It matches the Rfam family "Bacterial small subunit ribosomal RNA", at positions 1314 to 1533 of the family's 1533-position model. The record is from RNAcentral. Lineage: Bacteria; Bacillati; Bacillota; Bacilli; Lactobacillales; Streptococcaceae.
GCCUACAUGAAGUCGGAAUCGCUAGUAAUCGCGGAUCAGCACGCCGCGGUGAAUACGUUCCCGGGCCUUGUACACACCGCCCGUCACACCACGAGAGUUUGUAACACCCGAAGUCGGUGAGGUAACCAUUUAGGAGCCAGCCGCCUAAGGUGGGAUAGAUGAUUGGGGUGAAGUCGUAACAAGGUAGCCGUAUCGGAAGGUGCGGCUGGAUCACCUCCUUU